This 669-nucleotide ribosomal RNA is filed under the name uncultured Cryobacterium sp. RNAcentral's name for it is "bacterial SSU rRNA". It matches the Rfam family "Bacterial small subunit ribosomal RNA", at positions 352 to 1016 of the family's 1533-position model. The record is from RNAcentral. Lineage: Bacteria; Bacillati; Actinomycetota; Actinomycetes; Micrococcales; Microbacteriaceae.
CAGUGGGGAAUAUUGCACAAUGGGCGCAAGCCUGAUGCAGCAACGCCGCGUGAGGGACGAAGGCCUUCGGGUUGUAAACCUCUUUUAGUAGGGAAGAAGCGACUGGGUUUUCCUGGGAGUGACGGUACCUGCAGAAAAAGCACCGGCUAACUACGUGCCAGCAGCCGCGGUAAUACGUAGGGUGCAAGCGUUGUCCGGAAUUAUUGGGCGUAAAGAGCUCGUAGGCGGUUUGUCGCGUCUGCUGUGAAAACCCGAGGCUCAACCUCGGGCCUGCAGUGGGUACGGGCAGACUAGAGUGCGGUAGGGGAGAUUGGAAUUCCUGGUGUAGCGGUGGAAUGCGCAGAUAUCAGGAGGAACACCAAUGGCGAAGGCAGAUCUCUGGGCCGUAACUGACGCUGAGGAGCGAAAGCAUGGGGAGCGAACAGGAUUAGAUACCCUGGUAGUCCAUGCCGUAAACGUUGGGAACUAGAUGUGGGGACCAUUCCACGGUCUCCGUGUCGCAGCUAACGCAUUAAGUUCCCCGCCUGGGGAGUACGGCCGCAAGGCUAAAACUCAAAGGAAUUGACGGGGGCCCGCACAAGCGGCGGAGCAUGCGGAUUAAUUCGAUGCAACGCGAAGAACCUUACCAAGGCUUGACAUAUACCGGAAACGGCUGGAAACAGUCGCCCC